This 301-nucleotide ribosomal RNA is filed under the name Collyriclum faba. RNAcentral describes it as "SSU rRNA". It matches the Rfam family "Eukaryotic small subunit ribosomal RNA", at positions 715 to 1018 of the family's 1831-position model. Lineage: Eukaryota; Metazoa; Platyhelminthes; Trematoda; Plagiorchiida; Collyriclidae. The record is from RNAcentral.
GAUGCCUUUAACCGGGUGUCGGGGGCGGACGGCACGUUUACUUUGAACAAAUUUGAGUGCUCAAAGCAGGCCUAUGCCUGAAAAUUCUUGCAUGGAAUAAUGGAAUAGGACUUCGGUUCUAUUUUGUUGGUUUUCGGAUCCGAAGUAAUGGUUAAGAGGGACAGACGGGGGCAUUUGUAUGGCGGUGUUAGAGGUGAAAUUCUUGGAUCGCCGCCAGACAAACUACAGCGAAAGCAUUUGCCAAGGAUGUUUUCAUUGAUCUGGAGCGAAAGUCAGAGGUUCGAAGACGAUCAGAUACCGU